ACGGGAGGCAGCAGUGGGGGAUAUUGCACAAUGGGGGAAACCCUGAUGCAGCGACGCCGCGUGAAGGAAGAAGGCCUUCGGGUUGUAAACUUCUGUCGUACGGGACGAUAAUGACGGUACCGUACAAGAAAGCCACGGCUAACUACGUGCCAGCAGCCGCGGUAAAACGUAGGUGGCAAGCGUUGUCCGGAAUUACUGGGUGUAAAGGGAGCGCAGGCGGGAGAGCAAGUUGGGAGUGAAAUCUAUGGGCUCAACCCAUAAAUUGCUUUCAAAACUGCUUUUCUUGAGUAGUGCAGAGGUAGGCGGAAUUCCCGGUGUAGCGGUGGAAUGCGUAGAUAUCGGGAGGAACACCAGUGGCGAAGGCGGCCUACUGGGCACCAACUGACGCUGAGGCUCGAAAGCAUGGGUAGCAAACAGGAUUAGAUACCCUGGUA
Molecule: ribosomal RNA, 434 nt
Filed under: uncultured Oscillospiraceae bacterium
Lineage: Bacteria; Bacillati; Bacillota; Clostridia; Eubacteriales; Oscillospiraceae
Description: bacterial SSU rRNA
Rfam family: Bacterial small subunit ribosomal RNA
Source: RNAcentral